AUUGCUUCUCGGCCUUUUGGCUAAGAUCAAGUGUUUUUAGCAGUUUAAUAUCUGAUACGUCCUUUAUAUGAGUAUAUAUAGCAAGGCACCUAACCCCCA
Molecule: small nuclear RNA, 99 nt
Organism: Pygocentrus nattereri (red-bellied piranha)
Lineage: Eukaryota; Metazoa; Chordata; Actinopteri; Characiformes; Serrasalmidae
Gene: U2
Rfam family: U2 spliceosomal RNA
About the family: U2 is a small nuclear RNA (snRNA) component of the spliceosome (involved in pre-mRNA splicing).
Source: Ensembl